UAGGGAAUCUUCCGCAAUGGACGAAAGUCUGACGGAGCAACGCCGCGUGAGUGAGGAAGGUUUUCGGAUCGUAAAACUCUGUUGCCAGGGAAGAACGGUGGGAAGAGUAACUGCUUUCCAUUUGACGGUACCUGAGAAGAAAGCCCCGGCUAACUACGUGCCAGCAGCCGCGGUAAUACGUAGGGGGCAAGCGUUGUCCGGAAUUAUUGGGCGUAAAGCGCGCGCAGGCGGUCAUUUAAGUCUGGUGUUUAAGCCCGGGGCUCAACCCCGGUACGCACUGGAAACUGGGUGACUGGAGUGCAGGAGAGGGGAGUGGAAUUCCACGUGUAGCGGUGAAAUGCGUAGAUAUGUGGAGGAACACCAGUGGCGAAGGCGACUCUCUGGCCUGUAACUGACGCUGAGGCGCGAAAGCGUGGGGAGCAAACA
RNAcentral lists this ribosomal RNA (426 nucleotides) under uncultured Paenibacillus sp. RNAcentral describes it as "bacterial SSU rRNA". It matches the Rfam family "Bacterial small subunit ribosomal RNA", at positions 355 to 774 of the family's 1533-position model. Lineage: Bacteria; Bacillati; Bacillota; Bacilli; Caryophanales; Paenibacillaceae. The record is from RNAcentral.